Molecule: ribosomal RNA, 487 nt
Filed under: uncultured bacterium
Lineage: Bacteria
Description: partial 16S ribosomal RNA
Rfam family: Bacterial small subunit ribosomal RNA
Source: RNAcentral
GAUGAACGCUAGCGAUAGGCUUAACACAUGCAAGUCGAGGGGCAGCACAAGGUAGCUUGCUAUCUGGGUGGCGACCGGCGCACGGGUGCGUAACGCGUAUGCAACUUGCCCUAUACAGGAGGAUAACCCGUCGAAAGACGGACUAAUACUGCGUAUGCUCACAACUUGGCAUCAAGUGGUGAGGAAAGAAAUUCGGUAUAGGAUAGGCAUGCGUCCCAUUAGCUUGUUGGUGAGGUAACGGCUCACCAAGGCAACGAUGGGUAGGGGAACUGAGAGGUUUAUCCCCCACACUGGUACUGAGACACGGACCAGACGCCUACGGGAGGCAGCGGUGAGGAAUAUUGGUCAAUGGGCGCGAGCCUGAACCAGCCAAGUCGCGUGAAGGAUGACUGUCUUAUGGAUUGUAAACUUCUUUUAUACGGGAAUAACAAGAGUCACGUGUGACUCCCUGCAUGUACCGUAUGAAUAAGCAUCGGCUAACUCCGUG